GGGCGGUGCCGCCUUCAUACCAUGCAGUCGACGGUAAGGCCCUUCGGGGUACACGAGUGGCGAACGGGUGAGUAACACGUGGGUAAUCUGCCCUGCACUUCGGGAUAAGCCUGGGAAACCGGGUCUAAUACCGGAUAUUCAGUUCCUGCCGCAUGGUGGGGGUUGGAAAGUUUUUCGGUGCAGGAUGAGCCCGCGGCCUAUCAGCUUGUUGGUGGGGUAAUGGCCUACCAAGGCGACGACGGGUAGCCGGCCUGAGAGGGUGAUCGGCCACACUGGGACUGAGACACGGCCCAGACUCCUACGGGAGGCAGCAGUGGGGAAUAUUGCACAAUGGGCGAAAGCCUGAUGCAGCGACGCCGCGUGGGGGAUGACGGUCUUCGGAUUGUAAACCCCUUUCAGUAGGGACGAAGCGCAAGUGACGGUACCUGCAGAAGAAGCACCGGCCAACUACGUGCCAGCAGCCGCGGUAAUACGUAGGGUGCGAGCGUUGUCCGGAAUUACUGGGCGUAAAGAGCUCGUAGGCGGUUUGUCGCGUCGUCCGUGAAAACUCGGAGCUUAACUCCGAGCUUGCGGGCGAUACGGGCAGACUUGAGUACUACAGGGGAGACUGGAAUUCCUGGUGUAGCGGUGAAAUGCGCAGAUAUCAGGAGGAACACCGGUGGCGAAGGCGGGUCUCUGGGUAGUAACUGACGCUGAGGAGCGAAAGCAUGGGUAGCGAACAGGAUUAGAUACCCUGGUAGUCCCAUGCCGUAAACGGUGGGCGCUAGGUGUGGGGUCCUUUCCACGGAUUCCGUGCCGUAGCUAACGCAUUAAGCGCCCCGCCUGGGAGUACGGCCGCAAGGCUAAAACUCAAAGGAAUUGACGGGGGCCCGCACAAGCGGCGGAACAUGGUGGAUUAAUUCCGAUGCAACGCGAGAACCUUACCUAAGGCUUGACAUUAUACAGGACGACGGCGAAAUGUCGUUCCCUUGUGGCUUGAUACAAGUGGUGCAUGCUGUCCGUCAGCUCGGUUCUGGAAAUGUUGUUAGUUCCAAACGAGCCAAUCCUUGUUCUCAUGUGCAGCAGUUAUGGUGGGAACUCUGAGAAACCUGCCGGUUCAACUCGAAGAGUGAAUGACUCAAUCAUAUGCCUAAUUCUAUCUCACUGUCUUAAUGCUAACAAGGUGAAUCCUUGAAGGUGAACGAAUCAUAACCGUUUCCUUACAAGCAUG
Molecule: ribosomal RNA, 1210 nt
Rfam family: Bacterial small subunit ribosomal RNA